GUGGCUCGUGGUCUUAGGAAGCAUCUGAAGCGGGUAGCAGCUCCACAGCAUUGGAUGCUGGAUGAAUUGACUAGUGUGUUUGCUCCUUGUCCAACCACCAGUCCCCACAAGCUGAGAGAGUGUCUCUCCUAAUAUUUUCCUAAGGAACAGACUUAAGUAUGCCCUCAUAGGAGACAAAGUAAAGAUUUGCAUGCAGCCGUUCAUUAAGAUGGAUGGCAAGGUCCAAAUUGAUAUAACCUACCCUGCUGGAUUCACGGAUGUCAUCAGCAUUCACAAGACGGGAGAGAAUUUCUGUCUCAUCUGUGGCAUCAAUGGUCGCUUUGCUGUACAUUGUAUUACACUGGAGGAGGCCAAGUACAAGUUGUGCAAAGUAAGAAAAAUCUUUGUGGGCACAAAAGGAAUCCCUCACCUGGUUCCACGAUGCUCACACCAUCCACUACCUUGACUCCUUCGUCAAGGUGAAUGACACUGUUUAGACUGGCAAGAUCACUGAUUUCAUCAAGUUUGACACUGGUAACCUGUGUAUGGUGAUUGGAGAUACUAACCUGGGAAGAAUUGGUGUGAUCACCAACAGAAAGAAGCACCGUGGAUCUUUUGAUGUGGUUCAUGUGAAAGAUGCCAAUGGCAACAGAUUUGCCCCUUGGCUUUCCAACAUUUUUGUUACUGGCAAGUGCAACAAACCAUGGAUUUCUCUUCCCCGAGGAAAGGGUAUCCGCCUCACCAUUGCUGAAGGGAGAGACAAGAGACUGGUGGUGGGUGAAAUGGUGGGUGA
Molecule: long non-coding RNA, 772 nt
Filed under: Homo sapiens (human)
Lineage: Eukaryota; Metazoa; Chordata; Mammalia; Primates; Hominidae
Description: non-protein coding lnc-PEPD-6:1
Source: RNAcentral